RNAcentral lists this ribosomal RNA (468 nucleotides) under uncultured bacterium. RNAcentral's name for it is "partial 16S ribosomal RNA". It matches the Rfam family "Bacterial small subunit ribosomal RNA", at positions 28 to 507 of the family's 1533-position model. The record is from RNAcentral.
GACGAACGCUGGCGGCGUGCUUAACACAUGCAAGUCGAACGGAAAGGCCCUGCUUUUGUGGGGUGCUCGAGUGGCGAACGGGUGAGUAACACGUGAGUAACCUGCCCUUGACUUUGGGAUAACUUCAGGAAACUGGGGCUACUACCUGUUAUGAGCUCCUGCUGCGUGGUGUGGGGUGGAAAGUUUCGGCGGUUGGGGAUGGAGUCGGGGGUGAUCAGGUUGUUGGUGGGGUAGUUGCUUACCAAGGCUGUGACGGGGAGCCGGCCUGGUAGGGGGACCGGAGACACUGGGAAUGAGACAAGGCGCAGACGCCGACGGGAGGAAGGAGUGGGGAACAGUGCACAAUGGGAGGAAGCCUGAUGCGGGAACGCCGGGUGCGGGAUGACGGCCUUCUGGUGGUAAACCGCUUGCGCCUGUGACGAAGCGUGAGUGACGGUAAUGGGUAAAGAAGCACCGGCUAACUACGUG